UGGGGAAUAUUGCACAAUGGGCGCAAGCCUGAUGCAGCCAUGCCGCGUGUGUGAAGAAGGCCUUCGGGUUGUAAAGCACUUUCAGCGGGGAGGAAGGCGUUAAGGUUAAUAACCUUGGCGAUUGACGUUACCCGCAGAAGAAGCACCGGCUAACUCCGUGCCAGCAGCCGCGGUAAUAAGGAGGGUGCAAGCGUUAAUCGGAAUUACUGGGCGUAAAGCGCACGCAGGCGGUCUGUCAAGUCGGAUGUGAAAUCCCCGGGCUCAACCUGGGAACUGCAUUCGAAACUGGCAGGCUAGAGUCUUGUAGAGGGGGGUAGAAUUCCAGGUGUAGCGGUGAAAUGCGUAGAGAUCUGGAGGAAUACCGGUGGCGAAGGCGGCCCCCUGGACAAAGACUGACGCUCAGGUGCGAAAGCGUGGGGAGCAAACAGG
RNAcentral lists this ribosomal RNA (429 nucleotides) under Chloroflexota bacterium. Its description in RNAcentral is "Chloroflexi bacterium partial 16S ribosomal RNA". It matches the Rfam family "Bacterial small subunit ribosomal RNA", at positions 355 to 776 of the family's 1533-position model. Lineage: Bacteria; Bacillati; Chloroflexota. The record is from RNAcentral.